This 2759-nucleotide ribosomal RNA is filed under the name Schizostauron trachyderma. Its description in RNAcentral is "large subunit ribosomal RNA". It matches the Rfam family "Bacterial large subunit ribosomal RNA". The record is from RNAcentral. Lineage: Eukaryota; Bacillariophyta; Bacillariophyceae; Naviculales; Stauroneidaceae.
GUUAAAAAAUUUUUUAUGCAUUAAAUGGAUUCCUAUGCAUCAAAAUAAGAAUGGGCAUUUAAUAAUGAAACAUUGUUGUUAGUAAAAAUAAUUAUUGUAAGUAACAAUUUCCCAUUUUUGGUAAACCAAGUUUUUGUUUGAAAUUAACAUUAUUUUUAGUUUUAUAACUAUAAUAAUAAAAUUUAGUGAAUUGAAUCAUCUAAUUAACUAAAUAAAUAAAUCAACCGAGACAACGUGAAUAGAGGCGAUCUAAAGCGUCAAAAGACUUAAACUUUUUAAUUUAAUUUAAUAUAUUUUAUGGCCAAAGAAGGUUUUAGCCCUGUAAAAUUAAUAAAAAUGUUUUUAAAAAUUAAAAUGAUACAAGUCACGUAUUGUUUUAAAAUUGGGGGACCACCCUCUAAGUCUAGAAUUUUUGGUGUUUGAUAGUGUACUAGUACUGUGAAGGAAAGGUGAAAAAAAAUUUGAGAAAAAUUGAAAAGAUUGAAAUUUAAUGCUAACAAUUAGUUUUAGCUUUUUAAAAAGUGAUAACGUACCUUUUGUAUAAUGGAUUAACAAGUUUAUUUUAGUGGCGAGCUUAAUUGUUUUAUAAUUUAAGUAGGCGAAAAGAAAUUAAGUUUUAAAAUGCUUUUUAAGUCUCUGAAAUAAGACCCGAAACUAAGUGAUCUAACCAUGAACAGAUAGAUUUUAAAGCGGUAAUGCUUAUUUGAAGAUUGAACUCGUGUAUGUGGAAAAAUACUGAGAUGAUUUGUGGUUAGGGGUGAAAGGCUAAUCAAACUUAGAGAUAGCUGGUUUUCUGCGAAAUCUAUUUAAGUAGAGCAUUUAAAAUUUCUUUAAUUUAAGGUAGAGCUCUCGUUAAGUGAUGGGGAUGAAAAUCUUACUGAGUUUAGUGAAACUUCUAAUAUAAAUUAAAAGAUUUUAAGUAGACAGACUAUAAAUGCUAAGAUUUAUAGUCAAAAGGGAAACAACCCAGAUUAAUAGUUAAGGCUCUUAAAAGUAAUUAAGUGAAAAAAACAUAAAAAAGUUUUGACAAUCGGUAGGUAGGCUUAGAAGCAGUCAACCUUUUAAGAGUGCGUAAUAGCUCCCCGGCCUAUUUUAGCUUUUUGGUGUUGAAAAUGUAAAGGAACUUAAAUUAUUUGCCGAAACUGUAAAUUUAAAUAAUUACGUUUAAAUGGUAGCAGAACGUUCUGUAUAUUUAUGAAGGUUUAUGGUAACAUAAACUUAAAAAAUCAGAAGUGAUAAUGUUAAUAUGAGUAGCGAUAAACAAUGUGUAAAUCAUUGUCGUCUUAAUUCCUAGGUUUCCAAAUAAAGGCUAAUCCUUUUUGGUAAAGUUAAUCGGUCUCUAAAAAAAGAACGAAAGUUUUAUUUGAUGAGUAAAAAAUAAAAUUUUUUUAUUAAUUUAAAGUGACAAAAUAUAAAUAUUAUUUUUAUUUAAUGGUUAUAAAUAAAAGUUUUAUAGUAUUUUCAAGAAAUAGCUUUAAAAUACAAAAUUAACCGUACUUAAACCGACACAGGUGGACAAAUUGAGUAAAUUAAGACGCUUGAGAGAAUUGUGUUGAAGGAACUCGGCAAAUUGACUCCGUAACUUCGGAAUAAGGAGUGACUUAGAAAGGGUAACCUUUUUAAGUUGUCACAGAAUCGGGGACAGCGACUGUUUAUCAAAAACACAGGUCUCUGCUAAUUUGUAAAAAGAUGUAUUGAGGCUGACGCCUGCCCAGUGCUGCAAGAUUAAAGAAAAAAGUCAUCUGGCUUUGAUCCUAACCCCCAGUAAACGGCGGCUGUAACUCUGACGGUCCUAAGGUAGCGAAAUUCCUUGGCAUUUAAUUGGUGUCCUGCAUGAAUGGCAUAACGACUGUCCCACUGUCUCCAGCACAAACUCAGUGAAAUUAAAUUUUCCGUGAAGAUGCGGAAUACUAGCGGCUAGACGGAAAGACCCCGUGCACCUUUACUAUAGUUAUAUACUGUAUUAAAAAUUAUUAUGUGUAGCAUAAGUGGGAGUUGUCUGAAUUAUUUUUAAUACCUUUGCACAAGCAAAUAGUUUAAACUAGUUGUGAAAUACCACUCUUAAUAAUUUUUAUUACUAAUUGAUUAAAACCGUGUAUAAUGGGUAGUUUGACUGGGGCGGUCGCCUCCUAAAGAGUAACGGAGGCGUGCAAAGGUGAGUUUAAAUUGACUUAUACAUCAAUUUGUAAGCGCAAUAGUAUAUACUUGCUUGACUGUAAGAUUGACAAAUCAAACAGGGACGAAAGUCGGUUAUAGUGAUCCGAUAAUUCUGAGUGGAAAAGAUUGUCGCUCAACGAAUAAAAGGUACGCCGGGGAUAACAGGCUAAUCAUUCUCUAGAGACCUUAUCGACGGAAUGGUUUGGCACCUCGAUGUUGGAUUAUCGCAUCCUGGAGCUGCAAGUGGUUCCAAGGGUUUAGCUGUUCGCUAAGAAAGGCGGUACAUGAUCUGAGUUCAGAACGUCGUGAGACAGUUUGGUCCCUAUCUACCGUUAGUGUUAAAAAUUGAAAGGACUAAACCCUAGUACGAGAGGACCGGGAAAAGCGAAUCUCUGGUGAAUCAAUUGUUAGACCAAUAGCAUUGUUGAGUAGCUAAAUUCGUAUUAAAUAAUCACUGAAAGCAUAUAAGUGAGAAGUUAACCUUAAAACUAGUUUUAAAUAAAUGUAAAAGACUAUUACAUUGAUAGGCUUAAAGUGUAAGAAUUGUAAAAUUUUUAGCUAACAAGUACUAAAUUAUAUUAGUAAAAUUUUUUAACUAUUUU